CGGGACGUAGCGCAGUCUGGUAGCGUACCUGAAUGGGGUUCAGGUGGUCGGAGGUUCGAAUCCUCUCGUCCCGA
RNAcentral lists this transfer RNA (74 nucleotides) under Jonquetella anthropi DSM 22815. It matches the Rfam family "tRNA". From Rfam's summary of the family: Transfer RNA (tRNA) molecules are approximately 80 nucleotides in length. Lineage: Bacteria; Thermotogati; Synergistota; Synergistia; Synergistales; Dethiosulfovibrionaceae. The record is from Rfam by way of RNAcentral.